UGCUGGAGGUAUCAGAAGUGCGAAUGCUGACAUAAGUAACGAUAAAGCGGGUGAAAAGCCCGCUCGCCGGAAGACCAAGGGUUCCUGUCCAACGUUAAUCGGGGCAGGGUGAGUCGACCCCUAAGGCGAGGCCGAAAGGCGUAGUCGAUGGGAAACAGGUUAAUAUUCCUGUACUUGGUGUUACUGCGAAGGGGGGACGGAGAAGGCUAUGUUAGCCGGGCGACGGUUGUCCCGGUUUAAGCAUGUAGGCUGGUUAUCCAGGCAAAUCCGGAUAAUCAAGGCUGAGGUGUGAUGACGAGGCACUACGGUGCUGAAGUAACAAAUGCCCUGCUUCCAGGAAAAGCCUCUAAGCAUCAGGUAACAUCAAAUCGUACCCCAAACCGACACAGGUGGUCAGGUAGAGAAUACCA
RNAcentral lists this ribosomal RNA (410 nucleotides) under Klebsiella pneumoniae. Its description in RNAcentral is "partial 23S ribosomal RNA". It matches the Rfam family "Bacterial large subunit ribosomal RNA", at positions 1271 to 1683 of the family's 2925-position model. Lineage: Bacteria; Pseudomonadati; Pseudomonadota; Gammaproteobacteria; Enterobacterales; Enterobacteriaceae. The record is from RNAcentral.